CGGGGUCUCGGCAGCGGGGCGGACUUGGUGCCUCCUUGGGGACAGUGGAGGCCGGGGAAGGAAAGAGAAGCUUUACUAUCUCACCAUUAACUCCCUCCCCAUGCCUGCCUUCUAAAUGUAUGUCGAGUCAAUGCACAAGAGCCACUGAACCCCCACGUGGGCCUUCUGGCCUGUCCCUUCCUAUAUUUGGGUCUCAAUUUGGGGGGGGGUAAUAAAAGUGGAGAGGACGGGGUUGGAGCGGAAAUACUAGCCUUGUUUGAUUUCCAAACUUUUUAAAACUCCCUUGCAAAACAGCCAAGAAUAUAUCUGACACAUUAGUUUCAAGAUAUUAGAUCCUUCCUGUGGAUGGAUGGUGCAUUCUAAUAAACUCUGUUGUAUUUGAUUGUAAUAAAAUGCUCUUGGGGGACGCCUGGGUGGCUCCCUCAGUUAGGCGUCUGCUUUCGACUCAGGUCAUGAUCCAGGGUCCUGGGGUCAAGUCCCACAUCGGGCUCCUUGCUCAGCAGGAAGCCUGCUUCUUUCUCUGUCUGCUGCUCCCCCUGCUUGUGCUCUCUGACAAAUAAAUAACAUCUUUUUUAAAAAAUUUAAAAAUAAAAUGCUCUUGGUUUCAAAACCCACUAACGGGUCAGAAGCCUCAGUUUACAAAAGUGGCCCAAGGUUCCGGUGUGCAUGAUUCUUGUGGAAGGGAAGCAGAGGCAGAAUGUCCUCGGGGAAAAGGCCUUACGGGGUGGACCGCUGAGCCAGCUUCCUCAUCUGUGCAGCAGCUAGGGCAAGUGGAGAAAGGGCUGUGGGUCUGAAGUCUGAAACUUGGAUUAUGUUGUGUCAAAUUCUCCUACAUUUGAACUCUAAGACGGCCUCAGGCAAGUUGUGAACUUAUCUGGGCCUGUCUCCCUCAUCCAAACACAAUGCCUCGCUUUGUGGAUCCAGUCUGGCUGCAGACUGUUUGAAGGGGCUCUGGCGACUCAUUCAGAUAAGGCUCUGGAAGGGGCUGAUGGAAAAAAGAGGGAGGGAAGGUGAGCUUGGCCCAGGGGAAGGGCGUGGCCAGAGUGGAAGGUAGGUGGGGCAAGGUCGGAGUUGAGCUGGGUGGCAGGCCAGAGGUGGGCCUGGCUGAGGACCCCAGGCUUUGGGAGGAGAGAUGGGGGGAGGCCUGGCGGGAUGGGAUGGAAGGUGCCCGGGAUGGGAAAGACGAGGAGUUCGCACUCUGGCUUCUGCCCUCACAGGCUCCGUGGAGGCCCUUCAUGAGGUUCUGCAGCUCCCUGAGGCCCUGCGUUCCUGCCCGGCCCUGCGCAGGGCCCUGGCUGUGGACUCCGCCUUUCGCGAAGGCAACGCCGCCCGCCUGUUCCGCCUGCUCCGGAUUCUGCCCUACCUGCAGAGCUGCGCGGUCCGGUGCCACAUAGGCCGUGCCCGCCGGGGAGCCCUGGCCCGCCUCGCUCGUGCCCUGAGCACCCCCAAAGGCCAGACCUUGCCUCUGGGCUUCAUGGUCCGCCUGCUGGCCCUGGAUGGGCCCGAAGAGGCGCGGGACCUGUGCCAGGCCCACGGACUGCCCUUGGAUGGACAGGAAAGAGUUGUGUUUCUCAGGGGUCGUUACACUGAGGAAGGGCUGCCGCCUGCUGGGACCUGCAAAGUGUUGGUGGGGAGCAAACUUGCAGGGCGCACCCUGGAGGAGGUGGUCAUGGCAGAGGAAGAAGAUGAGGGUGUGGACAGAUCGAAGUCCCCAGCAUGAGGAGGAGCCCUGCCCUCUCCCAGAGCCCAGGACUGGAUCUAAGCACUCAGGUGGGUGCCCACUGCCCAGCCUCACCCCGCUGCACUUGCCGGGAGCUUCGGAACAGACUCACCUGUAGUAACGUUCCUCGGGGAAGGCUCGCGGGUUUAGGAAGGUCCGCUCCAAGAGCAUCAGCUGGUCGUUGAGCAUCCGGACCUGCAAGGGGCUGGAAGCGGCAGGACCUUCGUCACCCCGGAACCAGCAGCCCGGCUGCCAGCCUGCAUCCUGCCCCGGAUGCCGCCCUCCCAGACACCUGCUUGCUGCCCUUGCUCACUCAGGGCUGCCCUUCUGCAGCGCGGAUAUGUGUUGGUCCAAGGCCGCGGCUGCCCCCUCAAACUUCUCCACUGCAGUCACCAGGGGCCCUGUGGGGAACAGCCAGCGUUUCAGCCCUGGAGGAGCAGGGCUCCCCGCA
Molecule: RNA transcript, 2171 nt
Organism: Ailuropoda melanoleuca (giant panda)
Lineage: Eukaryota; Metazoa; Chordata; Mammalia; Carnivora; Ursidae
Gene name: SAC3 domain-containing protein 1-like
Exons: 3
Source: RefSeq, a predicted model, not a curated record